This 449-nucleotide ribosomal RNA is filed under the name uncultured bacterium. Its description in RNAcentral is "partial 16S ribosomal RNA". It matches the Rfam family "Bacterial small subunit ribosomal RNA", at positions 29 to 523 of the family's 1533-position model. The record is from RNAcentral.
AGCGAACGCUGGCGGCAGGCUUAACACAUGCAAGUCGAGCGCCGUAGCAAUACGGAGCGGCAGACGGGUGAGUAACACGUGGGAACGUGCCUUCUGGUUCGGAAUAACUCAGGGAAACUUGAGCUAAUACCGGAUAAGCCCUUCGGGGGAAAGAUUUAUCGCCGGAAGAUCGGCCCGCGUAAGAUUAGCUAGUUGGUGAGGUAAUGGCUCACCAAGGCUACGAUCUUUAGCUGGUCUGAGAGGAUGAUCAGCCACACUGGGACUGAGACACGGCCCAGACUCCUACGGGAGGCAGCAGUGGGGAAUAUUGGACAAUGGGCGCAAGCCUGAUCCAGCCAUGCCGCGUGAGUGAUGAAGGCCUUAGGGUUGUAAAGCUCUUUUAGCAGGGACGAUAAUGACGGUACCUGCAGAAAAAGCCCCGGCCAACUUCGUGCCAGCCGCCGCGGUAA